RNAcentral lists this ribosomal RNA (1132 nucleotides) under Bacillus sp. (in: firmicutes). Its description in RNAcentral is "bacterial SSU rRNA". It matches the Rfam family "Bacterial small subunit ribosomal RNA", at positions 77 to 1195 of the family's 1533-position model. Lineage: Bacteria; Bacillati; Bacillota; Bacilli; Caryophanales; Bacillaceae. The record is from RNAcentral.
AGCUUGCUCCCGGAUGUUAGCGGCGGACGGGUGAGUAACACGUGGGUAACCUGCCUGUAAGACUGGGAUAACUCCGGGAAACCGGAGCUAAUACCGGAUAGUUCCUUGAACCGCAUGGUUCAAGGAUGAAAGACGGUUUCGGCUGUCACUUACAGAUGGACCCGCGGCGCAUUAGCUAGUUGGUGAGGUAACGGCUCACCAAGGCGACGAUGCGUAGCCGACCUGAGAGGGUGAUCGGCCACACUGGGACUGAGACACGGCCCAGACUCCUACGGGAGGCAGCAGUAGGGAAUCUUCCGCAAUGGACGAAAGUCUGACGGAGCAACGCCGCGUGAGUGAUGAAGGUUUUCGGAUCGUAAAGCUCUGUUGUUAGGGAAGAACAAGUGCAAGAGUAACUGCUUGCACCUUGACGGUACCUAACCAGAAAGCCACGGCUAACUACGUGCCAGCAGCCGCGGUAAUACGUAGGUGGCAAGCGUUGUCCGGAAUUAUUGGGCGUAAAGGGCUCGCAGGCGGUUUCUUAAGUCUGAUGUGAAAGCCCCCGGCUCAACCGGGGAGGGUCAUUGGAAACUGGGAAACUUGAGUGCAGAAGAGGAGAGUGGAAUUCCACGUGUAGCGGUGAAAUGCGUAGAGAUGUGGAGGAACACCAGUGGCGAAGGCGACUCUCUGGUCUGUAACUGACGCUGAGGAGCGAAAGCGUGGGGAGCGAACAGGAUUAGAUACCCUGGUAGUCCACGCCGUAAACGAUGAGUGCUAAGUGUUAGGGGGUUUCCGCCCCUUAGUGCUGCAGCUAACGCAUUAAGCACUCCGCCUGGGGAGUACGGUCGCAAGACUGAAACUCAAAGGAAUUGACGGGGGCCCGCACAAGCGGUGGAGCAUGUGGUUUAAUUCGAAGCAACGCGAAGAACCUUACCAGGUCUUGACAUCCUCUGACAACCCUAGAGAUAGGGCUUUCCCUUCGGGGACAGAGUGACAGGUGGUGCAUGGUUGUCGUCAGCUCGUGUCGUGAGAUGUUGGGUUAAGUCCCGCAACGAGCGCAACCCUUGAUCUUAGUUGCCAGCAUUUAGUUGGGCACUCUAAGGUGACUGCCGGUGACAAACCGGAGGAAGGUGGGGAUGACGUCAAAUCAUCA